GUAGAAACAAGCAAGUCAAACAUUCUAUCCCCAAUACAACUGAUGGAGAAAUCAUCAUGAAAAUCUACCACUUUGUUUCUUUGGUGCAAAAUCUUGGCUGUCUUUAUACAUUACUCCAUUAAGGUAUCGGAUUAAUGUAAUGAAUUCAUUUGAUGGUGCUCUAUUCAGCCACGUGGUACGGUGCAAGCAAAUUCGCGUCAGUCCAAGCAAUACAUUAUCAUGUAUAUUGUCAAAGAUUUAG
RNAcentral lists this unclassified non-coding RNA (241 nucleotides) under Hevea brasiliensis (rubber tree). Lineage: Eukaryota; Viridiplantae; Streptophyta; Magnoliopsida; Malpighiales; Euphorbiaceae. The record is from RNAcentral.